This 255-nucleotide ribosomal RNA is filed under the name uncultured bacterium. RNAcentral's name for it is "partial 16S ribosomal RNA". It matches the Rfam family "Bacterial small subunit ribosomal RNA", at positions 524 to 777 of the family's 1533-position model. The record is from RNAcentral.
UACGUAGGGUGCGAGCGUUAAUCGGAAUUACUGGGCGUAAAGCGCACGUAGGCGGAUUGUUAAGUCGGGGGUGAAAUCCUGGAGCUCAACUCCAGAACUGCCUUCGAAACUGGCGAUCUUGAGUCCGGGAGAGGUGAGUGGAACUGCGAGUGUAGAGGUGAAAUUCGUAGAUAUUCGCAAGAACACCAGUGGCGAAGGCGGCUCACUGGCCCGGUACUGACGCUGAGGUGCGAAAAGCGUGGGGAGCAAACAGGG